UACGUAGGUGGCAAGCGUUGUCCGGAUUUACUGGGCGUAAAGAGCGCGCAGGCGGUCGUUCAAGUCGCGUGUGAAAGCCCCCGGCUCAACUGGGGAGGGUCACGCGAUACUGAUCGACUCGAAGGCAGGAGAGGGAAGUGGAAUUCCCGGUGUAGUGGUGAAAUGCGUAGAUAUCGGGAGGAACACCGGUGGCGAAGGCGGAUCUCUGGGCCGAUACUGACGCUGAGGAGCGAAAGCGUGGGGAGCGAACAGG
Molecule: ribosomal RNA, 253 nt
Filed under: uncultured bacterium
Lineage: Bacteria
Description: partial 16S ribosomal RNA
Rfam family: Bacterial small subunit ribosomal RNA
Source: RNAcentral